GCUUCCCGUCCGCUCAGCCGUACUCAAGCCACACGCCGGGAGGUUAGUAGUUGGGUGGGUGACCACCAGCGAAUCCCUUCUGUUGUAUGUA
RNAcentral lists this ribosomal RNA (91 nucleotides) under Aspergillus brasiliensis. Lineage: Eukaryota; Fungi; Ascomycota; Eurotiomycetes; Eurotiales; Aspergillaceae. The record is from RNAcentral.